UGGCUAUGGGUCCUGGGGCGCGGCUGGCGGCGCUGCUGGCGGUGCUGGCGCUCGGGACAGGAGACCCAGAAAGGGCUGCGGCUCGGGGCGACACGUUCUCGGCGCUGACCAGCGUCGCGCGCGCCCUGGCGCCCGAGCGCCGGCUGCUGGGGCUGCUGAGGCGGUACCUGCGCGGGGAGGAGGCGCGGCUGCGGGACCUGACUAGAUUCUAUGACAAGGUACUUUCUUUGCAUGAGGAUUCAACAACCCCUGUGGCUAACCCUCUGCUUGCAUUUACUCUCAUCAAACGCCUGCAGUCUGACUGGAAGAAUGUGGUACAUAGUCUGGAGGCCAGUGAGAACAUCCGAGCUCUGAAGGAUGGCUAUGAGAAGGUGGAGCAAGACCUUCCAGCCUUUGAGGACCUUGAGGGAGCAGCAAGGGCCCUGAUGCGACUGCAGGACGUGUACAUGCUCAGUGUGAAAGGCCUGGCCCGAGGUGUCUUUCAGAGAGUCACUGGCUCCGCCAUCACUGACCUGUACAGCCCCAAACGGCUCUUUUCUCUCACAGGGGAUGACUGCUUCCAAGUCGGCAAGGUGGCCUAUGACAUGGGGGAUUAUUACCAUGCCAUUCCAUGGCUGGAGGAGGCUGUCAGUCUCUUCCGAGGAUCUUACGGAGAGUGGAAGACAGAGGAUGAGGCAAGUCUAGAAGAUGCCUUGGAUCACUUGGCCUUUGCUUAUUUCCAGGCAGGAAAUGUUUCAUGUGCCCUCAGCCUCUCUCGGGAGUUUCUUCUCUACAGCCCAGAUAAUAAGAGGAUGGCCAGGAAUGUCUUGAAAUAUGAAAGGCUCUUGGCAGAGAGCCCCAACCAGGUGGUAGCUGAGGCUGUCAUCCAGAGGCCCAAUAUACCCCACCUGCAGACCAGAGACAUCUACGAGGGGCUAUGUCAGACCCUGGGUUGCCAGCCCACUCUCUACCAGAUCCCUAGCCUCUACUGUUCCUAUGAGACCAAUUCCAAUGCCUACCUGCUGCUCCAGCCCAUCCGGAAAGAGGUCAUCCACCUGGAGCCCUACAUUGCUCUCUACCAUGACUUUGUCAGUGACUCAGAGGCUCAGAAAAUUAGAGAACUUGCAGAACCAUGGCUACAGAGGUCCGUGGUGGCAUCAGGGGAGAAGCAGUUACAAGUGGAGUACCGCAUCAGCAAAAGUGCCUGGCUGAAAGACACUGUUGACCCAAUGCUGGUGACCCUCAACCACCGCAUUGCUGCCCUCACAGGCCUUGAUGUCCGGCCUCCCUAUGCAGAGUAUCUGCAGGUGGUGAACUAUGGCAUCGGAGGACACUAUGAGCCUCACUUUGACCACGCUACGUCACCAAGCAGCCCCCUGUAUAGAAUGAAGUCAGGAAACCGAGUUGCAACAUUUAUGAUCUAUCUGAGCUCGGUGGAAGCUGGAGGAGCCACAGCCUUCAUCUAUGCCAACCUCAGCGUGCCUGUGGUUAGGAAUGCAGCACUGUUUUGGUGGAACCUGCACAGGAGUGGUGAAGGGGACAGUGACACACUUCAUGCUGGCUGUCCUGUCCUGGUGGGAGAUAAGUGGGUGGCCAACAAGUGGAUACAUGAGUAUGGACAGGAAUUCCGCAGACCCUGCAGCUCCAGCCCUGAAGACUGAACUGUUGGCAGAGAGAAGCUGGUGGAGUCCUGUGGCUUUCCAGAGAAGCCAGGAGCCAAAAGCUGGGUCUUGAAAUGCAAAUAAGGAACCACUUCACACUUCCUAGGAUGGAUACAAUUAAAAAACAGAAAAUAAGUGUCACUACGGAUGUGGAGAAACUGGAACUCUUAUGCGUUGCUGGUGGGAGUGUGAAAUGGUGCAGCCACUGUGGAAAAUGGAUUGGUGAUUUCUCAGAAAGAUAAACAUAGAACUGUCAUCCAACCCAGUUAUUCCACUCCCAGGUAUGUAUCCAAAAGAAUGGAAUGAUAGCUGUACACCCAUGGUCAUAGCAGCUUUAUUCACAAUCGUCAAAAGGUGGAAGCAAACCCAGGUGUCCAUCAAGAGAAUGGCUAAACAAAAUAUGGAAUAUGCAUUUAAUAAAAUAUUCAGCCAUAAAAUGGAACAGAAUUUUGAUACACACUACAACAUGGAUGGACUUGAAAGCAUUAUGCUAAAUGAAAUAAGCCAGACACAAAAUAAAUAUUGUAGGAUUCCACCUAUGAGCUACCUAAAAUAGGCAAAUUCAGAGACCAAAAGCAGAAUAGAGGUUAGGGAUGCAGGUAGGAGUUAUUGCUUA
Symphalangus syndactylus (siamang) is the source of this 2256-nucleotide RNA transcript. It is a transcript of the gene named prolyl 4-hydroxylase subunit alpha 3, with no coding region annotated. The record is from RefSeq and is a predicted model, not a curated record. NCBI's taxonomy places the organism in Eukaryota, Metazoa, Chordata, Mammalia, Primates, Hylobatidae.